Long non-coding RNA from Vicia villosa (hairy vetch), 9646 nucleotides. RefSeq lists it as uncharacterized. The record is from RefSeq and is a predicted model, not a curated record. NCBI's taxonomy places the organism in Eukaryota, Viridiplantae, Streptophyta, Magnoliopsida, Fabales, Fabaceae. The transcript has 9 exons.
AAACCAACAUAAAGCACUUCAAGUUGAUCAAAAACUGGAAGAAGAAGAAAAAAAAAAAGGGUAAAACAGUGUUGAAGUCUUCAACAAACCAAAAACUGGAAGAAGAAGAAAAAAGUAAAAGCAACUGAACGUUUGGUUUUUCCACUGGAAAUUUAUAGUGCAUUAUGUUUUUGCUAUGUAGCAUGAAUCUCUUUGCCAUUCUUCUGAACAAGGAAACCGACCAAGUUAUUUAUGGGGAGGGAAUAGAGUAGACCCAACCCAGGUUCUCUUUUAACCUGCAAGGUUUUACAAACAACGAUUAUCUUCCAUUCCGUGUUCCGAUCUUUGGGAACCAACCAAGGUUUUGUUAAGGUUUGAAGAAGUAUGCAAGUUAUCUUUGUGAGAGAGAAGCAAGCAAGGGAUUUUUUGAGGAUGGUUGCCGUGUGACCACACAGUCAGUAAAACCAACCGAGAAAGAUCGUCUACGGCUGAAGAUGAUGCCCACAACACUGAGAUCAUCCUGUCCAUUAAUCACGCGCUGAUCACGCAGUCAUGAUUCAUUCACCAGUGGUAGUUAGCUGUAGCAAAUUCAUUUGUUUAACCAAUUUUAACUUGUCAAAUUGAGAUUUUCAUUAAAAUUUGCAUGCUUUUUUUAAACAACACUUUUCACCUUAAAACUCACUUCUACCUUGGAUGGAUAUACUGUUUAUGCAAAGUUAAAUUAACCGAUAAUAUGUGAGAAGCAAGCAAGGUAAGCAAUACAAUGCCACUCUUUUUUUGUUUUCUUGUGCGUGUGUUUUGUCAUAAAAACCUGUACUUGACAUUCUCUGUUUGUUGCAAAAAGAGGAUUUUUUGAGUUUGGUUGCCGUGUGUCUACCCCGUCAGUAAAACCAACCGACAGCUAAAGAUGAUGCACAGAAUAUGGUUCCUUCAUGAUACAUCGCCCAGACUUAUGUUCUUGUCUCUUUAGAAUCCAAGUACUCAGCAGUAAGAGCCUAUAGAACACAUCAUGUUCAAAUUUUGUUACCAGACAAAACAGCUAUGGUGGUGGUGAUAUCAUUUCAACAAGUUAGGGACCACUUUGAGCUUUUCAUGGUUGGUUUGAAGAAGGAAGCAAGUUAUCUUUGUGAGAGGGAAGCAAAGGACACUAAAUCACAAACGGCUAGAAUCUUUCAUGUUCUCCCUGAGAAGCAAGCAAGAUUUUGUUACCAAACAAAGCAGCUAUGGUGGUGAUAUCAUUUCAACAAGUUAGGGCCCACUUUGAGCUUUUCAUGGUUGGUAAGAUUUUGUAGGUGACAUUGUAAAUAUGUUUCUAAAGUGCUUUUUAUUAAACUUCAGUGGUAGCUAGCAGUAGCAAAUUCAUUUCUUUAACCAAUUUUAACUUGUCAUAUGGAGAUUUUCAUAUAAAGUUACAUUCUUUUUAAACAACACUUUUCACCUUAAAACUCACUUCUGCCUUGGAUGGAUGACUGUUUAUGCAAAGUUGUGUUAGGUUCUAGCUCUACUGAUGGUGCAUAUCUAAUCAAUGAUGAUCUAAGUGUAUGUUGUUUACAAGCAGUUUGGUACACUAAUAUCUGCACUUCUAAUUUCAUUAAAUAGAUACAAAAUUAUCUUUAUGCAUUCACACUUAAGCUGUUUCUUUUUAUACUCUAAGUGAAAUCUGAUGUUUGACAAUAGUAUACCUUACAUGCUUAAACAAAAGAUAGAAUAGAUCGAUUAGCGCAAUAUAAUUCUUUUGUUGCAAGGUGAGUUCUUAUUCAUAUCUUUGUGCUGAUUGUUGUCAUUCAAAUAACAUAUGUCGAGUUAAGAUGAACCUAAUCCAUCCCUGUUUGUUUCAUGUCAAUGUUUGGUGUUAGUUUAGCUUCUGGAAUGAAUAUAGAGGUUUAUUCAUUGUAGGGUAGAAAAAGUAGAGGCCAAGUAAGUAUCCGACUAAAGUUCCACAUCGUCUAAUUGGUAAAAGAAAUUAAGCUGCUCAGAUAUAAAAUGAAAGGACCUCUAAUUAAGCUAAUUACGGAGUCGUGUGAUGAUGACAUAGCGAACUAUUCUUUCGCCUUUUACUAAAGAAUACCGUGUCAGCGUCACAUUUAGCGGCAUACGCUAGUUUUUGGAAGAGUCUUCUUCAUUGAGGGCUCUGCAACUUUAGUUCAAGAUUAUGUUUGAAUCUUUCUUAUUUUUGAUAAUUCUCACUAUUUUUUUUAGUUUUAAAUUUAAAUUAAUUCUGUUUUAUUCUAUAAAAUUAUGAGCUUCUAAGUGUUGUUAUAAUCAGAAAAAUAUUAUGAGAUACAUAAAGCUGGAUGUGUAUCAAAUUGCUAUGCAACUGAGUUUGGGUUGGUAAGAUAUUUUUGAAAAAACUUAUCAGUAACAGCUGAAUGAUUUGAUUUGUAAAACAUUAACCUCAUAGUUGGCCUCUACAUUAACUUACACUCUAAUGAGAACCCAUCUAUCUGCAAAUGAUGUUAUAUUGAGUCACAGAUUGGAAAGCAUGAUCAAACUCGUCAUCGCAAAAUUGCGAUGAACCCAUAGGCCAAAUAAUUAAAUGAACCUAGCAGACUAAUACCCCAAUAACAAGAACAAUCUCUUGGCAAUUUUGAUACUGAAACCAAGUUGAUUUAAACUAAACAAUGGCAGGUAUAAAACAUCAAUUAAGAUGAUAGAGUCAGUGACAUGCACUUUCAUUACAAAAUUCUGCUAUGGAGGUCACUGUAGUGAGGCAACAUCUGCUCCUCCUUUCAAUGUAUUAGACUUGAGCAUUGCUAUUAAUCCUCUACAGUAAGAUUUUCAAUUUCUUUUUGUUCAGCAUCCCCAGGUGCAUUUGCUUCUGAAUUAUCUACUUCAACCCAAUUACUUCCUGUAUAGUUACUUCCAAGUUUGCCACAGUAUGAGCACGUCUUAGAAUUUUCUCUACUUCUCUCGAAGAAAUUUCCACUAGAUCCAUUAUUAAAUCUUCUGCCAUCAGCCGCAUUAACAAUCAUCUUUAAUGUCAUCCAACCAAACUAUUUGGCCUCUCACGUUUAAUAAGACUAGAGAAAACCUUGUUCAUAUAAGGAAAAGAAGGCAAUAAAAGCAGUUGAGAGCAUACUGCUGCAAAGGACUCAUUCCAUCGUAACAAAUAGUUUCAUCUUUUUCGGAUAUGGUUAAACAAAAGAUGGAAUAGAUCGAUUAGCUCAAUACAGUUCUUUUGUUGCAAGCAAGGUGAGUUCUUAUUCAUGUCUUUGUGCUGAUUGUUGUCAUUAGAAUAACAUAGUGUGAGUCAAGAUGAACCUAAUCCAUCCCUGUUAGUUUCAUGUCAAUGUUUGGAAGAAUGUUGUACGGUACUGGAUCAUAUAAAGGUGUUAGUUUAGCUACGGGGAAGAAUUUAGAUGUUUUUUCAUUGGAGGGUAGAAAAAGUAGAGGCCAAGCAAGUAUCUCACUAAAGUCCCACAUAGUUUAAUGCGUAGAAGAAAUUAAGCUGCUCAGAUAUAAAAUGAAAGGACCUCUAAUUAGGCUAUUUAUGGAGCCGUGUGAUGAUGACAUAGCGAACUAUUCUUUCGCCUUUUACUAAAGAAUACCGUGUCAGCGUCACAAUUAGCGGCAUACGCCAGUUUUUGGAAGAGUUCUCUUUAUUGAGGGCUCUGCAAUAUUAGUUCAAGUUUAUGUGUUUUCUGUUUUUCCGAUUGAUGUUUUUGUUUGGAUGUUUAGUUUUUUUGUAUUUCUCCCUAUUUUUUGUUCUUAUACUAAAAUAAAUCAUUCCAUACAGCUUGUUGCUUCAAGGAUUCUGCUGUAUCAAAGUAGAGUAAGAGUAAAAUAUACAAUAGCAAGAAGAAAUGGCAGGUACAAAACAUCAAUUAAGAUGAUUGAGUCAGGGAGAUGCACUUCAUUAGGAUUCUGUUGUCUCAAACAAGUAGAGUCCAUUUUACAAAAACCGUCUUGUAUGUGACACAUCUUGUAUCAAGUAGUCCUUAAUUUAACUGGUAUUGUGUUUAUCCCUAAGAAAACAUGUCUAAAGUAAGCAUACGUGGUCCGCAGCACCAUUAUAAAAAAAUUCAUACCGUGUGAGGCAACAUCUGCUCCUCCUUUCAAUUUGUUAGGCUUGAGCAUUGCUAUUAAUCCUCUACAGGAAGAUUUUCAAUUUGUUUUUGUUCAGCAUCCCCAGGUGCAUUUGCUUCUGAGUUAUCUACUUCAACGCAAUUACUUCCUGUAUAAUUACUUCCAAGUUUGCCACAGUAUGAGCACGUCUUAGAAUUUUCUCUACUUCUCUCGAAGAGAUUGACCAAAAUUUCCACUAGAUCCAUGAUUAAAUCUUCUUCCAUCAGCCGCAUUAACAAUCUCCUGCGGAUCUUUAAUGUCAUCCAAACUAUUUUGCCUCUCAUGUUUAAUAAGACCAGAGAAAACUUGUUCAUAUAAGGAAAAGAAGGCAAUAAAAGCAGUUGAGAGCAUACUGCUGCAAAGGACUCAUUCCAUUGUAACAAAUAGUUUAAUCUUUUUUCCUUGAAUUUAAGAUCCAGGUGUUGGCCGCGUUAUACAUCAUGUAUGAUUUCAAUGAUGCUGCGGCCGGCCAUGAAGUGGGCUGUGAGACGCACUCAGAAGGAUUCUUUUGUUGCUAUAGCCAUGGUAGGUUUUGAUCAUGAAAAUGGCGAGGUUCGUAAAGACUUACUUAAAACAAAAGAUGGAACAGAUCACUGGUUCAUACAGGUCCUCUGUUGUAAGGUGAGUUAUUAUUCAUGUGCUGUAUUUGCAUUGAAAUUCAAUUGUGCUAGAUUGGGAUACUUUAAUGUUUAAAGUGAGUGGGUAUCAGACUGAAGUCCCACAUCGUCUAAUUCAUAAAUGAAACUAUACUGCUCAGAUAUAAAAUGAAAGGACCUCUCCUGAUAGUAGGCACGGAGCCGUGUGAUGAUGACAUAGCGAACUAUUCCUUCGCCUUUUACUAAAGAAUACCGUGUCGGCGUCACAUUUAGCGGCAUACGCUAGUUUUUGGAAGGGUCCUCUUCAUUGAGGGCUCUGCAAUUUAGUAAAAGUUUGUUCAUCUGUUAAGUUUAUUGAUGAUUUUAGACUAUUAAUCACUAACUGGAGUUUUGAUUAGGAAUUUGUUAGUGUUUUGAUACACAAACAUGUGGUUAAGUGGUUCUUAGGCAAAAAUUAAAAUAUGAAUCCUUUGGUCACUGUAGAUGCCUGAUCCACACUUUGUGAGGCAACAUCUGCCCCUUCCUUUCAAUGAUUUGGACUUGAGCUUUGCUAUUAAUUCUUAAUAUUCCUUUGCAAUAAGAUUUUUAAUUUGUUUCUGAGUUAUCUACUUCAACACAAUUACUUCCUUUACUAUUUAUCAAUUGAAAGCCAGUGGGAAUUGAAGGCCGCUGCAGCAACAUCCACAUAGAUCCCAUUAUGCGUGGUAGACAGAGAGACUAAAUCUACGUUCCAGAUGCAUGAUAGAUCGAGAGUACUGUUUGUUUCAUCUCUCAUUAGUAUUUGGUGUUUAGUAUUUUCGAAUAAAGUAUGUUAUGCCUAACUAUUUAUAGUGCAUGCAUAACUUGCAUCAGUACACUAAGGUAAAACAUCUCUGUCUUCAACAGAAUCUUUUGUCUGCUAUAACCACUAUAGAUUUUGAUCAAGAAAAUACUGUAUUGAAUGACUAAUUGCAAACAUAACCAAACUCACACCAUCUAAUACCCAAAAUGAACACAUUUGUCAUUUUGUGGCUGGAUUAGAAGGAAGUAAACUUCAACAACUUUGGUAUUGGUUUGGUGACUGGGCUAUUUUACUUCUGUAAAUGUUAUUUUCUUGUCCUAGUUUUUGAACAAUUUAGCUCUCUUCAUCUCAAAUUUAUUCUUUGCGGUUUAAUAUUUGCUUGUCUAAGUUGUUAGAUUUGUUUAUGGACAAGAAUGAUAAGUGAGGACUUCACAGUACAAUUUCUUAGUCCCACACUGCUAAUGAGAGAAAUAAGAUGAAUUUGAAUUUGUAUAAAAGUAAGCUUAUUCAUUAGUGAAAUCUAUCUUUGCGCUUGGGGCAAUGACGCAGCUAGUGAGGUUCUAACCGAGGCGCGUCUAUUGCUGGUUGAAAACUAUUUCCAAACCCCCUCUUAGGCUUGGGUUCAACUCAAGCCUUUGAGAAUUUCUGGAAGGACUCCCUUUGGGGUAAAGUCCUACAAUUUUAGUUCAAUAUAUAAUAAUUAAGUCUUACAAUAUUAGCUAAUAUAUUUAUAUUUAUUCUAAGAAUUUCUAAAUUUCAGUCUCUUAUUAAUUAGUCAUUCUUUAAUUUCCAAUCUCCGAUAUUCCAUUAUUUUGCAUAAGAUAUAUGACUUAGUAUGGUUGCAACUUAACAUUACAAUAGUAAAAAAGCCCAGUCAUCAAACUAGUAUCAAAAUUCUCAUCCAGCCACAACAAUCAACUCACACAAACCUUAGUUUACUCUUCAGCUAGUUAUUGAACUUGAUAAAAAAAUAAAAUUGAUUUGAAAGGUAAGAUUUGGUAUCAGUUCUCUAAACAAAAUAAAGAUUGAUAUGAAAGGUAAGAUAUGAUCUCAGUUAAAUAAUUGUUCUAUAAAACAUGAUAAAGGAGAUCAUGGAACAAAAUAUUGCAUACAUGUUGAUUCCACUAAGCGAAUAUAGACGCCAUAAUAUUGUUAUAAAUAGUUCGCAAUGUGAGUUGGUGUAUAACAUGUUGAUCCACUAAGUGGAUUGGUGUAUAACUUGUUGAUCCACUAAGUGAAUAUAGACCAUAUAUACAACUCUGACACUAAAUUUAGGGAAUAAUUAGUCUCAGUUUAGAUUUAUAUGAUUAUUAUCUUUGUGACGAUAUGACACUUGACUAAUCUUUUUUUCUUUUUCCUCUAUAGAAUGAAUUAGUCUUAUGUUGUCUGAGUCCCACAUCGGAAUUGUUAGAGUGAAUAGUAUGGAACAUCAAGUAUAAAACAGAAGUGUGUGAUACAUUGCAACAUACUUACCUGGAUGGGGUCAAUGGGUGAUCAAGAAGGCCCAUGGCCUAGGCAAGUGACCUCCAUUGCACUUAGGAGGGGUGCUAGCCUAAGGUCUACCCAAGUGGUGGAGCCUACAUCAUAAUUUGUUGCUGUGGGGGCCUGCGUUCGCGCGGCCCCUCCCAAUUGAGUUUUAAUUUUUCUUUAAAGAUCCAAAAGCAUUGUUUUUUUGAGGGAGGCUGUUUCAUAAAAAUUUUGCUGGAGAGUAUGUUGGAUUGCUCUGUCAUUUGUGGAAAUUUUGAAAGCUUGGAUCAUCUGGUGAGGAGUUAUUAACAUAUUGCUUUGGCAAAUUGGACUUUGAAAUAGUUCAAAGUAUGCUGAAGGAUGUUGGCAAUCAAUCAAACUGAGUUUUUGUAUCAUUGAUGUAGCUUAGGUGAUUGUUUUGGGAUGGAUUUAACAUAGGUUUUUCGUUGCAACAUUUGUAGUGCAAAUGUUGUGUGCUAAUGUGUAUUACUCUUAUACCCGUUUUGUUCACAUCUGGUUCAUAUAUUAUCCAUAUAUUAUCUGGUUGUUCAAGAGCUGAAGGGAAAUUGGAAUAUCUGCCAUCUGUGUUGAGUUUGACGUAGUUACUUUGAAGAGGUUGCCAACUAAUCAUAACCAACCAUCCGUGUUCAGCUUGACGUAGUUACUUUGAAGAGGUUGCCAACUAAUCAUAAUAACCGACGCCUUAUCCACCUUAGUAGUAACUGCACGUUGUGGGUUGUGGGGGAUGUUGUAAGAGAUGCUAAUGGUGUUUGGUUAGAUGGUUUUACGAAAAAUACAAGUGUGUGUUCUGCCUUUGUAGCAAAAUUGUGAGGUGUGUUUGAAGGCCUUAAUUAUACGAUCAAAUUAGGGAAGAAGGUGGAGUUGAAUGUGGAUUCUGUAGCGGUGAUGAAUGUUAUUAAAAAAAAGGCGCGUUAGAAAGCUCUAAAGGUUAUGCCUUGUUAAGGUAAAUUACAAGGUUGAUUGAGCUUCAGGAUGAUGCGUAAAUUAGUCACUCUUAUCGAGAAGCUAACAAGUGUGCAGAUGCGUUGGUAAAUGAAAGAUGCAACUUAAAUUGCAAUUUUGUUGAAUACAUAGUUACUCUUAUUUUUAUUAGUGGGUUGUUAGAGGAUGACUUGUUAGGAGUUUUUGUUCCUAGGUUGAUCCCUGUGUAGCUUUUCUUUCUUCGGGCUUUGGCCCUUUUGUUUACCAAAAAAUUAAAUUUGUAGAUCUGGCUCCAUUUGAAAACAUAAGCCAAUUUGAUUCAUUCAUAAUCUUAACUUUAUUGUUUUCAGUUUUGACUCAUUUACAUUAAGAUAUUAAGAUACAAUGUUUUUAAAGAAAAAAAAAGUUACCACUAUCCAAAUAUAAUUUAAAAAAAAAGGUCUAAAUAGCAAAACUUUAAAUGAAAAAAAAGUUUCAAUAACCAAAUUUUACACAAUUAGAAAUGAAUAAAAAAAAUUAAUGAUUUUUAAUUUGGGCCAACUUUCUAAAAUGGCUUAAUAAUUGCUUGUUUAAUCGAAUGAACCAAAAUAAAAGUAGAUUUGCGACCAAAAAGUUAAUUUUUGAAGAUAUAAAAUUGGACCGUCAAUGGCCGUCUAAUGUGUAAAAAACUGGAUUGAUUUUAAAAUGGACCCGAUUAUUGUUAAAACCCAAAAAAACUAGUAAUGAAAUCGAAUUUGGGAAAAAUUGAUUGUUGAAUCAGACGGAAAUGGACCUAUAUUUCUCAACCGAGGGUUGGGCCAAUUUGGGGUUUUGAGACUGAGUCCAUUAGUUCUCCUUACUCAAAUUCAGAGCUUUUGGAAACUUCCUCAACUAAUGGAACUCAUGUCAAGUUCUCCUUCCCGGCAACACUAUAUGAAGAGUACCUGGAUGCAACAGCAGAUUCUGCGAGCGAGGGCAAUGAUUUUUUUUGUUCAAUACCAUUGUGCUUGUGCUUUGCAGUGUAACGUCAUGUUCUUGAUUGACACGUCUAUUUUUGUAGUGCAUACCUCCAGUACUUCAUUGAUUUGAAUAAAAUUAGCAAGUGGAACUGGGGGUGUAGUUUGGUAUACCUAUACCAAAAGCUGAAUGAAGCUUCUAACUGGAGGACAAGGAAGUUGACAAACUCUUGCACACUAAUCGCGGGAUGGAUCAUUUUCCACCUCCUCUGUAUUCAUGGUUUCUACAUUGAUGAGGAGUAUCGUGAAGAGUUAAUGCGGGCUACCAUGUAUAUCUUGCAAAGAGGGAAUAAUGUUGUGCCACCGUUCCGGGUGUAUCUUGAUCGAACUGUUCAUGAUGACAUCAACUGGAUGCUCUUGACACCAUUGUCCGUCGGGAUCUCGGUGACAUCUUUUAGGAUUGGGAGCAUCAUAUGGUGCCGGAGGAGUAUUGGAUGUUGCCAGCAUCGAGCAGUUGGCAUUGUGUGGAGGAAUACCUGACAUGGUUCUACAUAGUGUCACACCCUAUCAUGACACUGAACACUCCUGGACAUCCACCUAGGCCAGCUCAUGAGAAGAUCUUGGAGAACCAGUAGGCCCAGAAUGACCAUACCACUAAUGUCUUGUCGAUUUGUCAGUGUAUACAGUUGAUUAGGCAAGACGCUUUGGAGUUAGAGGUGAUUGAGAGAGGCAAUCCUGAAGCGGUGUCCAUCGUAGAAAGGUCAAAGGAUGGUUAGAGAGACAUCGAGUUUUGCGAGAUACAAGGGGCGGAGGAGGGAGCAGAGGUUAGGAUUAGGCAUACGUAGUAGGUUAUGCCCUUCUUUUUUUUAUUUAUCGAUGUA